Molecule: long non-coding RNA, 2484 nt
Organism: Glycine soja
Lineage: Eukaryota; Viridiplantae; Streptophyta; Magnoliopsida; Fabales; Fabaceae
Exons: 7
Source: RefSeq, a predicted model, not a curated record
AUUGUUAUGCUUUUUUCUCUCUCUUAUCUUCUUAGAUAUUACACUGACCCUUCAUUUCUCUCUCAUUGUUGCCUUCUGCAUCUCCCUUUCUCUUUGUCGCUUUCCUCUCUCUAGCGGAUGGGUGGAUGUGGACGCCCUCAACGGGGUCGACGAGGAGGAAGGCAGUGGCGACCCUUCAGUGGUGCCUUCUCGGUCCACGGUCGUAGCAUCGCAGGUGGUGUGAAGGGUGGGAACAGCGGCUCAUGGAUGGCGGUCGGCUUCACCUUCGACGUCUUAGAGUAGCUGAACUGGAACUCGAAUGGCGCUAUGGAAGAGGAAGAAGUGUGGCAGCCAUGAAAUCAAGUCAAUCUAAGAAGAAAUGGUUUGGGAAGCAAAAAUUGGAGACCUCAGUCUCAUGCUCAGAAGCUGACGAUGUAACAGGGGAGAAAGUGAAGGAUAUAUAAUGUAAGGAAGAGAAGUUGCUUGGUCAGGUAUUAUUGUUCUGAUUCUAGCUGGUGUGCUCUCCAUUAUCGGGUAGUAUGAAGUUUCAUGCAUUGGAGUUAUUUAAUAUUUUAUCCUCAUUGGUAUAAAUAUAUAUCAUAACCAUUGCAGUGAAUACUACAUGAAGGUGAAAUAGUUGUUGGGAAAUGGAUACUACAUGAAGGUGAAAUAAUUGUUGGGAAAUCUAACCCACAUAGUAGCAACAAUUGUGGAGCUAUAUGUAUGCAUUUACAUGCAGUUUUUCAGCAAGUAAUGUAUCAUUGAUGUUGGUUAACAUGUUGUGAUUGUUUAUUUAGUAUUUAAUGUAGCUUGUACAUUUAAUCCUUAGUAACCAAUUUGUGGAUAUUUAUUUUUUCUUAUCAGAGAGUUUGUAAGUGGUUGGGUAUCCUUUAUACCCAUUGCUUAUUAAUAAUAUUUCUUUUUUUUUUCUCUUUUUUUGUUGAGAGGCUUUCAGUUCUUUGUCUGAUGCAGAUAGGUUAUUUUCGACCGAUGUGGCGACUUAGAGAACAUAUGGCAUUCUUGGUCAGAAAUCUCCAAUUUUAUAGUCAGAUUUAUGUGAUAGAGUUUCAAUGGAAUAUUUUGCAAUCUCAUAUUCAAGAGUCUCAUGAUUUUACAGAACUUGUGGGCUUUAAUCAAGAGUAUCAGUCAGCCUUGAUUUCACAAACUUUCUUGGACAUUGGUUCUGUGUCGAGGAUACUGGAAAGUAUCAUGAAGCUUUGCUUGCAAUUUUGCUGGAAUAUUGAGAACCAAGAUAAUUUUUCAAAUACUUAUGAACUGAAGCAUAUAGUUGACGUGAUAUGCAUUGUUGGUUUUGUUUGCCAAAUUAUUGUACACGAAUAAGUAUCUCAAUAAAGCCAAUAUUUUCCUCAUACAACUUCAUAUAUUAAAAUUAGUCUAGUAGUAGUCAGAAAAAAGUACAAUAUAGUUGCUUCUUUAUGGUUUUGUUUCCCACAAGCCUCCUUUUUUAGUGGAAGUUGGCAUAAAUUUAUAUGGAAAUAUAUGCUUGAGAGUUUCUAUUUCCCUUCAAGUAUCAAAAGUAGUACCUCCUUUGACUCAAUGAACAAGAAAUGAAAAAAAAUACAAGUUAUGUCAUUUAUUCUUAAAUCUAUAUUGCCAAAAGUUGAACUUUCUCUCUUCACUUUAGAUGUAUUCAUAGAAAUUAACUUUACCUGGGGCAAAUUUAUAUUUAAAUGCAAUAUGUGUGUCUAAUGAAUAAAGGCACGUAUUUUUUCCUCUUUGUCUCACCUGAUUGGACCUUUUCAAAUUACUCGUUACAUCUCUAUAUUUUAGAUUUAGAUAAGAUCUUUGUCCUUUACUGAAAUCUCUUGUUUUGACUUUUCAUUUAUUAUGUUUGUUUUCUCUAACCAAGCAUCUAUAGGAAUUCAACAAGAAAUCAAAUUUCUUGUCCACUAUACUGCGUAGUAGUAGGCUUGCUGGAAGUCAGCGGGCACCCUUUUUGAGACGUUUUCUCUUGCGGUUAAAUCUGAAUUCCUUCUUUGAGGUAAUGUGUAUAUGUGUUGUUUAUAUUGUCUUCCAAUUGGGUGAAGUUUGAUUGAAUAGCAAUGCAGAAGGAUACCAGUACCACUGCCCCAUCAACUACAAGUGGUCAGGUUAGGCACCAAAAACACUUAAAUGAGGAAUUGAUCUUGAAAUUUGAAGAGAACAUGAAAAAACUAUCAAAACUAUCGGACAACAGAUAAUUGGAAGCAUGGCCUUUUUUCUUCACGACAAUGUCAUUUGUUUAUGGAUGGAUUUUGAUUCAACGCCUAGUUAACACAAUAACUUCAGACAUGGUUUUAUAUCGGCUAGUGAGCAAUCUUAUUAAGUAUCAUAUGGUUAUCUGCUACUCCCUGUACAUUGUAGGUAACUUGUGCUUAUCUAUUUUGUCCUUAUAAUGUUCAUUAGCCAGUGUUUGUUAAGGGUGUUAUUUUAAUUCUUCUCAAUAAAAAAAAUUGUAUCAUAUGUAUAUUUGCUUUCAUAGAAUCAUUUUGUUCAUAUAUUUAA